AGGCAGCAGUGGGGAAUAUUGGGCAAUGGGCGAAAGCCUGACCCAGCAACGCCGCGUGAAGGAAGAAGGCCUUCGGGUUGUAAACUUCUUUUGUCAGGGACGAAGGACGUGACGGUACCUGACGAAUAAGCAACGGCUAACUACGUGCCAGCAGCCGCGGUAAUACGUAGGUUGCAAGCGUUGUCCGGAUUUACUGGGUGUAAAGGGCGUGUAGGCGGAGCUGCAAGUCAGAUGUGAAAUCCCGGGGCUCAACCCCGGAACUGCAUUUGAAACUGUAGCCCUUGAGUAUCGGAGAGGCAAGCGGAAUUCCUAGUGUAGCGGUGAAAUGCGUAGAUAUUAGGAGGAACACCAGUGGCGAAGGCGGCUUGCUGGACGACAACUGACGCUGAGGCGCGAAAGCGUGGGGAGCAAACAGGAUUAGAUACCCUGGUA
Molecule: ribosomal RNA, 432 nt
Filed under: uncultured Oscillospiraceae bacterium
Lineage: Bacteria; Bacillati; Bacillota; Clostridia; Eubacteriales; Oscillospiraceae
Description: partial 16S ribosomal RNA
Rfam family: Bacterial small subunit ribosomal RNA
Source: RNAcentral